GCGUCCUGCGGUCUUCCUGAGCGAAAGCUGGUGAACUGGGGUGCUGGGGUGCUAUCUGCGGGCAUUUCAGCUCCUUCCGCCGCUGCUGAGAAAGUUGAAGGCUUCGAAUUAAAUGAGUAGCAGCUCACCUAGUUCCUCCACACUGUUAGCGGGCAUGCCCGUGCUGGGCUGCCCAGGAAUUCAUUAUGUAGCUCACCCACAGUGAUCCUCCUGCUUCAGCCUCCCACAUGCUAGGAUAACAGCCCAGCCCAGAGGCAAAGAAAUGACUCCUUUUGGAACCUAUUUCAACAAGUCCCUGAGGCGUAUCGACCUUUAACCGCCAGGAAUCCUGUGGUCCUGCUUGAGGUGUGCCAAGACGGAACGGAGCAAAGAAUACCAUAAACCAACAGACUUUGCAAAUACACUGGAAGGGGGAACAUGAACAUGCUGGAGGUCAGAGGACAACUUGAAGCCUCUUGUUUUCUUCCUGAGGAUUGAACUUGGCCUUGCUACCGAGCGCCUCUGACCUCUGAGACAUCACACCAGCCCGAGUUAUGGAUGUGCAGAACCACACAGGCAGCUGAGGGAAACGGGAAGCUAACAACCGCUGAUCACGCUCACAGGCUGAUCCUAAUUGCUUGCACUGCCUAACGCUUGCACACCACAGUGACAAUAAGAUGUGAUUGCAGGUCCCGGAAGCUGGUGGCUUACUUCCCUAGCUGGCAGGUUUGAUUGCAGCUAUUCAAAGACCAUUUAGAUGUGUGCAUGUGUCUAGGAUCCAAAUGGUACCCAAGUCUGCCUUCCCUGACCAACCAGCACCAGGAGAAGGAUACACUGUCCCCUCAGCCCCCAGGGACUUGCCACCCACUGUUAGAUCCCUUCUUAGGGGAUAUAACACACUAAGGGAUAAGCAGAAGUCAGAUGGGCUGACAUAUCUGUAUUCCAGAAGAAACUGAGGAAUGUGUCUCAACUUCUUAAAAGUCCUCAGAGUCGGGAUAUUCUUUAAAUAGUGUUUCUUCUCUCUUUCAUUUAAUGAGUGGAAUCAUGAUUUCCCAGUCCCCAACUGAACCUUGGAUCUCGUGAAUGUUAAAAACAAGUAGCGGGGAGCUGGAGAGAUGGCUCAGCGGUUAAGAGCACUGGAUGCUCUUCCAAAGGUCCUGAGUUCAAUUCCCAGCAACCUUAUGGUGGCUCACAACCAUCUGUAAUGCAAUCUGGUGCCCUCUCCUGCCAUGCAAGGCAUACAUGCAAGGCAGAACACUGUAUGCAUGAUAAUAAAUAAAUAAGUAAAUAAAUAAAUCUUUAAAAAGUA
RNAcentral lists this long non-coding RNA (1288 nucleotides) under Mus musculus (house mouse). RNAcentral's name for it is "predicted gene, 17518, transcript variant 3 (Gm17518)". Lineage: Eukaryota; Metazoa; Chordata; Mammalia; Rodentia; Muridae. The record is from RNAcentral.